This is a long non-coding RNA of Patella vulgata (common limpet), 388 nucleotides long. RefSeq lists it as uncharacterized. NCBI's taxonomy places the organism in Eukaryota, Metazoa, Mollusca, Gastropoda, Patellidae. The transcript has 2 exons. The record is from RefSeq and is a predicted model, not a curated record.
CUGACACGAUUUACUCACAUUCAGUUUUAAGCACGGGAAGGCAUAGUUUAUAGCUCCAUUUUUCACCAGGAUACAGGAUAAAAUGGCCAAAGUGAUAUUCGCAAUAAUCUUAUUAAUAUCUGUUGUUUUAAUGGCCGACUGUGAUGAGAACACCUCUAAUGGUUCCAAGCCUGAUUGUACUGGCACAUGCCGCGACCUGUCUGUUAUACCUGAUGUCUUAUGUCCAAUUAAAAAGGACGGUUUUUGUCCAGAGAAAACACCAACGUGCUGUUAUUUUCCUAUGGGGAAUAAUCCGUGAUAAAAUCUACACUGACUUGGUACCUAACAUUAUUUAUAACAAAAUAUAUACUGUAUCUCAAAUGAAAUAAAACGGAGUUCACAUAGUAGA